Molecule: long non-coding RNA, 758 nt
Filed under: Homo sapiens (human)
Lineage: Eukaryota; Metazoa; Chordata; Mammalia; Primates; Hominidae
Description: HSALNT0327556
Source: RNAcentral
CUAAACAGUGUUAGCAGGUACUGUCAGCAGGCCUCAGGCAGAAGCAGACAAGAAGGGUAAGAAGUAAAGGAGAGGGAGGAAAGGAGUUGAAAGAAUAAGAGAAUGAGGUGAAAGCUGAAGUCCCCACAGAGGGAAAUGCCACAAGACUAGGCCGUGCAACAUUUCCGCAGUGCUCCUCGCUACAAAGACAUUCCCCUAAGGCUGGUGGGCAACUCAACACUCAGCUCAGUACGUGGUCAGCUCGUCCUCCAUAGGAGCCUUAUGCCUUGGUGAGGAGAUCUCUGAAGAAAUUGCUGAUGAAAGUCCAACAGGCUCUUCCAGUUUGUCUGGUCGGUCACAUUUGCUGAAACCUGGAGGAAUUGUUAGUGGAAGCUCAACAGGCCUGACUCAGUCUGACUGUCCAUUCUUCUGGAAGCUGCAGAGAAAAGAAACCUGGAAACCUUAUAUGCUGACAAAAAGGGACACAAUUGGAUAUGAUGGUUAUUUUACCAAGGUUUUGAAAUGUCGUGCUUUCAAAUAUAAACAGACUGCUUUAAGGAAUCGAAGUUGACUUAUAGAGCCAAUAAAAGCCCUGCAGGAAAGCUGGCCUCAUACUUUGUCUACACAGUCUCUGUACAGGUUUCCUGACCUGUGGUUUUCAUUACUGCCACCUCCACCUCCCACAUGGUGAUAUUCUUGAUGUAGCUAUUGGCAUAGACCAGAAUCUGGCGAAUUGGUGGUGUUCGGUACUAAAUAUCUGUUGAUCAACGGAAUGAACA